Molecule: ribosomal RNA, 383 nt
Filed under: uncultured eukaryote
Lineage: Eukaryota
Description: partial 18S ribosomal RNA
Rfam family: Eukaryotic small subunit ribosomal RNA
Source: RNAcentral
CAAUAGCGUAUAUUAAAGUUGUUGCAGUUAAAAAGCUCGUAGUUGGAUUUCUGGUGGGAGCGAUCGGUCUGGCGCUUAGCGCGAGUACUUGCAUCGUCUCCGGCCAUCCUUGGGGAAAGUCUGUCUGGCAUUAAGUUGUCGGGCAGAGGAUCCUCAUCGUUUACUGUGAAAAAAUUAGAGUGUUCAAAGCAGGCUUAUGCCGUUGAAUAUAUUAGCAUGGAAUAAUAAGAUAGGACUUUGGUACUAUUUUGUUGGUUUGCACACCAAAGUAAUGAUUAAUAGGGACAGUUGGGGGUAUUCGUAUUCCGUUGUCAGAGGUGAAAUUCUUGGAUUUACGGAAGACGAACUACUGCGAAAGCAUUUACCAAGGAUGUUUUCAUUAA